Molecule: ribosomal RNA, 200 nt
Filed under: uncultured bacterium
Lineage: Bacteria
Description: partial 16S ribosomal RNA
Rfam family: Bacterial small subunit ribosomal RNA
Source: RNAcentral
UACGUAGGGGGCGAGCGUUGUCCGGAGUUACUGGGCGUAAAGCGCACGCAGGCGGUCUGUUAAGUUUGGAGUGACAGUUGGUGGCUUAACUGCCAAAGUGCUUCGAAAACUGACAGACUUGAGGGCUUCAGAGGGACACGGAAUUCCGGGUGGAGUGGUGAAAUGCGUAGAGAUCCGGAGGAACACCAAAGGCGAAGGCG